Molecule: unclassified non-coding RNA, 1184 nt
Filed under: Hevea brasiliensis (rubber tree)
Lineage: Eukaryota; Viridiplantae; Streptophyta; Magnoliopsida; Malpighiales; Euphorbiaceae
Source: RNAcentral
AAAAAUCAUAAAUUUUUUUAUUCAUACAUACACACAUAUAGAAAGAGAUGAUCUCUCCCUUUAAGACAGAUUGGAACAAGGGAUUAUCAACUUAAAGCAAUGGUUUUCUUAAACAUCCUACAGAAAUUUCAGCAUCUAUGUAAUUAGUGCAUCUGCUCCAGCAACAAUUUCCAAUAUCUCACCUGUGAUCUUCGCCUGCCUUUCCCGAUUAUAAGCAAUAGAAAGGUUCCUCCUCAACUCAACAGCAUUAUCCGUUGCACUAGUCAUUGCAUUCAUCCUAGCUGCAACCUCACUUGCAAAUGACUCUUGAAGUGCCCUUAAAAUCUGGCUAUUCAAAUAUAAUGGCAUCAAUGCAUCAAGAAUCUGAGCAGGAUCUUGCUCAUACUCUAAAUUACGCAAAAAUUCCCCCUUUUUCACCCUCAAAUCCCUCACCACACUCAGUUUACCUUCCUUACUAGUCAACCUAAAAAACUCAUCUUCAUCAAAAAACUCCUCUCCUCUUAAUGGGAGCAAAGUAUGAAUCACCGGAUCAGAUUUAAUCAACGAAACAAAUUUAGUGUACAAAAGCUCUACUUUAUCAACUUGUUCACUAAUAAACAAAGAAAAAACAUCAUCAGCUAUAACCUGAGCCUCUUUAGCAGUCGGAAAACUCUCAAAUCUAUCAACAACAAAUCUAUCAACAUUCCGAAAAUAAGCAUUACUCUUCUUACCAACACUAAUCAAAGUAUACCCAAUUCCAAGACUCGUCAAUUCCGCCAUCCGGCUCUCUGCUUUCUUAAAAAUCCCAUUGUUAAAACCACCACAAAGACCUCUUUCACCUCCAAUAACAACAAGGCCAACUUUCUUUACCGGUCUUAUUUCUGUCAACGGUAUAUCUACCUCUUCAAACUGAAGCUGUUGGGUGAUGUUGUACAACAUAUCAACAAGGGUUUCAGCAAAGGGUCGAGUACUGAUGACUGCUUCUUGUGCUCGACGAAUCUUAGCGGCUGCGACUAGUUUCAUUGCUUCUGUAACUUUUUGGGUUUUGUUGAUUGUGUCGAUUCUUCCUCGUAGUUCACGAAUACCACACUGAAUUGAACGAAGGGGAAGUUGCAGGGAUCGGAAACUAGGGUUUCUAUUGGUUAGUUUAGGAUCACAAAUGGGAAAGUUGACGACAUGACAAGUGAAAGAGAGUGAAGAAGCCA